This 76-nucleotide transfer RNA is filed under the name Escherichia coli. RNAcentral describes it as "tRNA-Lys". It matches the Rfam family "tRNA". From Rfam's summary of the family: Transfer RNA (tRNA) molecules are approximately 80 nucleotides in length. Their secondary structure includes four short double-helical elements and three loops (D, anti-codon, and T loops). RNAcentral also lists the same sequence under 3 other names. The record is from RNAcentral. Lineage: Bacteria; Pseudomonadati; Pseudomonadota; Gammaproteobacteria; Enterobacterales; Enterobacteriaceae.
GGGUCGUUAGCUCAGUUGGUAGAGCAGUUGACUUUUAAUCAAUUGGUCGCAGGUUCGAAUCCAGCACGACCCACCA